This 1090-nucleotide long non-coding RNA is filed under the name Parus major (Great Tit). Its description in RNAcentral is "lncRNA (ENSPMJG00000011543.1)". Lineage: Eukaryota; Metazoa; Chordata; Aves; Passeriformes; Paridae. The record is from RNAcentral.
UCAUGGAAUUUGGUCUUGAAGAGACAGUAUAGGCUGUAAAAACCUUAGUCUGCAGAGUUAUCCAAGUCCCAUCACAAAUGCUGACCAAUGCUUAGAAUGAGAUCUUGUCAGAGUUUCCUCCUGACUAAAUUAUUUUUGAAAAGUUCAUUAAUAGCAUACACAGUUGAACAAUUCACAUAUUUAAAAUGUGUAAAUAUAUAAUAAAUUAUCAGUUUAGAAGAAAGGUUAGAUUUUAAACCAUGUCUGGAAAAUAGGAAAGAUGGCUCAAAUCACUGGAGCAAUGGAGUUAGGUAAAUUCCUCAAAAGCUCUAUUUGGGAGGGUGGAAUUACAUCACAGAUACAGAGCAGGAAGUAAUUGAUGGUAUGACAGCCAAAUCAAAGAAAUUGCAACAAAUUCAAGAGUAGCUUAGAGAGACUGGAGAAAAAGAGUUUUGUUGGUACAAAAUGAGUUGUAACUGUGAGUGUCCUGUGGGGAAAUGCUCUUGGCAUGCAAGUUCUUAUGCUCCUACCAGCAAGAAGCCAGAGUUGGUUUAGAAAUGGAGUAGAAAAGUUUAGAAAUGAAAAUGUGUGGGUGUAGCAGAAGAGGUGUAGAGACUGUAACUCCAUAUGGUUAAAAACAUCCUUUCCAUGCAAACAUUUUGAUUCUGUUAAUUCUUUUAACUGUCCCCAAAUGCCAAGGCACUCUUGGCUAACCCUAGUGACUGGAAGAAACAGGGAUACUUUCACAUUGUUACCUUUACCUCACAUAGCUCGAUGCGAUGGUGGGUGUAUCUUUGUGAGCAAUAGGUCCACCUCCAUAUAACCAGAUCAAUGUGUAUGCCUCCAGGUUCAUGUCUGGUGUGUGGAAAAGGGGAUGGAGAGGCAGAGUGGUUGUCAUGAGAACAGUUCAUGUCUGCAAGACUUGCAAUGACAGCAGUUUGGACAGAGAAAAUGCCAGAAUUUACUUUCAGGCUUAUGGCCAAAAUGUAAGUUUUUCUGUAAUUCUCCGAAAGUAUAAAACAAAUGUAUGUACAUACUUGGAAAUAAGUGUAACAUAGACAACUGAACCCCUCUUGGCUCCUUGUCUUAAAUGAGACAAUGUAAUCAGGAA